Molecule: RNA transcript, 4903 nt
Organism: Triticum dicoccoides
Lineage: Eukaryota; Viridiplantae; Streptophyta; Magnoliopsida; Poales; Poaceae
Exons: 2
Source: RefSeq, a predicted model, not a curated record
CUUCCUCUGUCCCGGCGGAUCCAGCACCCGAGCCAGCUGGAGUGCCCGCCGCGCCUCCCAGGGGGAGCCAGAUGGCGUUCGUCGCUCCUCGCGGCCGUGCGCGUGGUGGUGCCCUGGUGAGGAGGCGCCGCCGACGAGCAGCAUAAAAUGCGGGCCAGCCGGAUGGCGCGAGGAGCCGCGCGCGCGCGUCGUCGCGUGGAGUUGGGCCUCGUCCAAGUCCUGCCGCGACGACGUCUUCCGGGUGACCUGCGCCCACGGCAUGGAGGACGCCUUCUUCUAGUGCUCCGUCGGCUGGGUUAGGAGCGCCACCAGGUCAGCUUCUGCCGGCCUGCCCGCCAGGUGCUUGUGUUUAUUCCCAUGCGUUCCAGUUCCACUGUGACUCUGUCCUAAUUAGCUGUAGUCACUACCAGUGAGUAACAUUUCUGUGCAUCCCUGCUUGGCCACGCCUACUUGGUGGAUGCUGCGUGCCUGCGUCCGUGCAAUCGAGGUGUGGCUAAGAUUGCUGCGCAUCCUGGAUUCCUGGUCUUACAACAACCAGAUACCGAGGCUCGAUUCUCUCACCGAUGAAUAUUUUAGGACAAGUAGACUAGAAUACCGCAAGGUUUUGAUUGGUUUGAUGUGUGCCGGCCGGUAGUUGGCAUAGGACAAAUGACAAAUCAUACAUUAAGACAGUAGACAGAUCAAGAAAAAUGUUAAGUUGAUCGGUCCGUCAAGCUGUAGGUGAGUAUAAGGCUAAGAGCUGCUGCAACCACUCUUGCUUUCCUUCAGUUAAACAUACCAGUUUGAAACGAGAAUGGAGCUGCCUGCGUUUUUACAUUUUAGCCAGGACAAGUUAAAUAUGAUCAAAUCGUGCUCCUGCCUGGCGCACCCACUGCCAAUUGGACUAUGCGUAUAAAGAACUGGGGUAUUAUAUUAUAUGAAAACAUAAGUUAAGACAAGCCCACAGAGGCAUUCGGUCAAGUCAAGAAAGUAUAUUAUUAAUGGUAUAUAUAGCCCCUCGAUGUAAGCUCUUAUAGUAUAGGAAAUCCACUAGACAUGUGACAACGCUCAUAGCUACCGCUAACCAUGUGCACACAUAAAUUGGAUUAGGGAGCGAACUUGAAACAAAUCAGCCUUACUUUGUGCCUGUGUGCGACUGAUUGUUGAGCAAGAGCAGGAAAGGGAAAGAGCUAGACCAGAUGGGUCUGUCGAGCGCUGUGGAUUGGUGGGAGGAGUGGCAGCUGCGCAUCCUCGUCCUCGGCAGCCUCUUUGUCCAAUACCUCCUGCUCUGCUCUGCCCCCUUCCGUAAGUUUGCUAUUCCUUCCUGGUACAGAUCCAUCAUAUGGCUCGCAUACCUAGGCAGUGAUUCUGUAGCCAUAUACGCCCUGGCUACCCUCUUUAACCGCCAGAGGAGACAGGAUUAUGGUUCUGCAAACAGCAAUAGCAUCCUGGAGGUGGUGUGGGCGCCAGUUCUCCUGAUGCACCUCGGCGGACAGGACGUAAUAAGUGCGUACAAUAUCGAAGACAACGAGCUGUGGACACGGCAUGUCCUCACUGCAGUGUCUCAAGUCACAGUAGCUAUCUACGUGUUCUGCAAAUCAUGGCCAGGCACAGGCGGAGACACAAGGUUGUUGCUGGCAUCAAUCUGCUUCUUUGUCUCAGGGAUUGUCAAAUGCAUAGAGAAACCUUGGGCUCUCAAGAGAGCUAGCAUCAAUAGCCUAGUCAGCUCUUCUGAUACUGCCGCGAGGAUGGGAAGCAUGUUUGGCAAGACCAUUUCGCUUGAAGAGUACGUGCAAGAAGCAAGGAAUUUUGUCCAGUCCCAAGUAGAAGGCCAUGCAGUUGACCUUGAGCACAACCAUGUUCCUCAAGCCCAAGCAGAAACUGAUGCAGUGGAAUCCAACCAUCAUCGUCAAGCACAUGGAAAAGGUAAUGCUGCUGACCUUGAUCCCAACCAUAUUCUUCGAGCCCAAGGAGAGGCCAAUGGAAAAAGGCGCCUAAUCCAAAAAAGGGAAAAUAAUAGAAAAUAUGAUGUUCAGAUCCGUAAGAUAUUUGUGGACCUUGCAUCAUCGUAUACUGAUCGACUGGAUAUCCUAAAAUCCUUUUGGGUGCUUGAUGAGAAAAGAGCAUGCGCUUUUUUGCGAAAAGGGCUAUUAAACACAUUUGAUCUUCUCUACACCAAACAAAAGGUGAAUACAUCCAUGGAAAUUAUCAGAAAAAUUCAAGAAGCGAGAAAAGCAGAUAUUACAUUUCAGAACUUUUUUACUUGGUGCUUUUUGGCACUAGCUCUGUACCUGCCAUUUGCUGCCAUCGGCCUCUUCCACAAGAGUCACAGAGGCACUUAUAAUGUUAAUGAUGUCAAGGUUACAUAUGCCUUGUUCUGUUGUACUGCUGCGAUGCAGUUUUUUGCCAUGUACUUUCACAUGCUUGCAGCAGCUCUGAGCGGUUUACUGAUAUCAUCUGGCAUGGUUGCUCAGUAUAGCCUACUAAAUUUCUUUAUUCGCAACGAAAGGCACAGCAAGAAGAUGUGCGUUCUUAGUUCCUUCAACUGCAAGGACUUCCUUGACCAGCGUUGGUGCAUGAAGUCAUGCUCCUCAUCUUUCGGAAUUACAGAGUUGGUUCUUGGAUAUGUGAAAUGUUGCUGGGAGAAAGACAUAGUAGAUGCUGCCAGUUAUAGGAAAUUCAGUGAUCAGAGGGGCCAGUGGACUAUUCAGCGUAGUGGGUGCGACAAAGACCAGGAAUGGGGGCUAAACAGGUCGUUCGACGAGAGUGUCCUUCUCUGGCACAUCGCAACGGACUUGUGCUUCUACCAAAAGGGAGACACAUCAGCUAGUCGUGGAGAUGCCACAAAAUGCAGAGAAAUUUCCAACUACAUGGUAUACCUACUGUUUGUCCAUCCUGAGAUGCUAUUGCCCGGCACAAGACGAAAUCUGUUCAAGGCUGCUAACGCUGAACUGGAGGAGAUUUUCAAGGACGACAAGCCAUUACUCAAGGCCAUCCUCAAGGGUGGCAAGCCAUCGCUAAUGGAGAUUCCCAAGCGAAAGGGGCCAUUGCCUGAGCAGAUUGAAAGAAGACUUGUGGACAGUAUAAUCGCCAAGGUGCAACCAACAAAAUACAGCAAACAAGUUGAACACACAUACUUGGCACCAGCUGCACAGGAAGGUUUUAUCCAUGAGGCCCGGAAGAUUUCUGAACUAUUGUUGUCUUUGGGCGAUGAGAAGAUGUGGAAGGUGAUCAAAGGUGUGUGGGUGGAGAUGCUCUGCUUCUCAGCCAGUAGGUGCCGAGGAUUCCUACAUGCCAAGAGUUUGGGCACCGGCGGGGAGCUGCUCACAUAUGUAUGGCUCCUGCUGUCGCACAUGGGGAUGGAGACCUUGCCGGAGAGGGCACAGAGGAGGGAGCUUUCAAGUGAAGGAGGAAACAUGGGUGCUGCUCCGUUCACUUCGCGGGUCAGCAUCCCCACUGGGGAGGACAUGGUUUGAUCAUUGAUGCUUAUGAAGACCAUUUUCCCCUGAUUUCAAUCUUCGGUGUCGCUUAUUUUCUUACCCAUUGUGGACUUUCUUGUUUGUACUCCCUCCGUAAAGAAAUAUAUAAGAUCGUUUAGAUCACUACUUGCUUCUCUAGUGUUCUUGUUCUUCAGUUGAAUAAAACCAUGUGGUGCUUGUAUGUUUCUUAUUACAGUGGCUACCAGUCUGCCACCAUGUUUGUAAGAGUGGGAUCGUGAGUCAUUUAAAUGUUUGAUUAGCAUAGUAAUGUAAUGUAUUACUACUACCCAAAUAUCAGAAUUGCAGUGCUGUUUUCCUUGUUCAAUCUUGACAAUUUUCGUUGAUUACUACCCAAAGAAAGUGCAGUUGUUUCUUCUUUGAUUUAUAUGAUUUCUGCUGCAGUAUUGCUCCAGCUCAAUAUGCAGAGUGUCCGAUGAUGCCAAGGCUGGAGAUAUUAUAACAUGUGAACGUGGUCUACCAGAUGAAGGUAGAGCCUCGGCAACAGCAAGCUUCAGACGCUGUUGCGGCCAAAUCUAUCUCGUCGACAGCCCCAAGAAAUGUAGCACGCGAGUAAUCUGAGGGAUUAUGGUAUCCCUUUAUCUGUUCUUGGGAAAUAACCUAGUCUGUGUUGGAGUCUUGGAGAACAUACUUUGCCACCUAAUCCAAGGGAUGGAUUGCCUCCGGCCCAUGCCUGCUUCAGUUAAAAGACCUGCAUCCAUGCGUCGAGUUAUCGGUAUGUAUGUUAACUGUGAUGCUAAAUGAUCGUGGGCUAACUUGUGUCAAGACCUCAGAGAACACCCGUGUGUUCUGCUGUGAUCCUAAAUCUAUUCAGGAUAUGUUUUUGGGUUGCUUGGUACUGCCUACUACUCUGUACGUACUAGCUAGGCACCUGCCGGCUGAAGUUUCUGAAAUGCUACAGUGUUGAGGUAUGAGGUGGUCGAACCCCGAACAUGAGGACGCCCUGGAUGAAGGUUCAUCAUAUUGCUGCUGCAACAUUGGAAGCCCCCGUGCAAAGCCUUGCUCGACACUGCCCGACCGACGCAGCCACGCUGAUGGAUGAGAUGCAAGCGCAAAGCGAAACACGGAGAAUUGCCUGGACACUCACCCCAUCUGCUGUCAAUCGCGUUGUUUUACCGACCGGCAGGGGCAUGGAAUUCCCCUUGGCAUCGAUGCAAUGUCGGCAGUGUACCUUCUUUUUCUGAAUGUUGGGACUGGCGCUGUAGACUACUCCACGGUGCUGUUUCAUCCAAGGAAAAGAGGUGUGUCUGUUGAUUCAGCGGGGAGCUUUUGCAUAUCUUGCAGAUGGUUUUUUCCCCUUGCUUUGGUGAAUAAAUAAAUAAAUUUUACGUUGGAUAAAUAUUGUUACUAGGUCAGAUUUCGUGUCACUGCUGUUUUUUUAGAAUAUGCUACAAAUGUCAUUGCUACAAAUGUCGAUGUUUUUUUUU